RNAcentral lists this ribosomal RNA (491 nucleotides) under uncultured bacterium. RNAcentral describes it as "partial 16S ribosomal RNA". It matches the Rfam family "Bacterial small subunit ribosomal RNA", at positions 29 to 506 of the family's 1533-position model. The record is from RNAcentral.
AGUGAACGCUGGCGGUAGGCCUAACACAUGCAAGUCGAACGGCAGCACAGUAAGAGCUUGCUCUUACGGGUGGCGAGUGGCGGACGGGUGAGGAAUACAUCGGAAUCUACUUUUUCGUGGGGGAUAACGUAGGGAAACUUACGCUAAUACCGCAUACGACCUACGGGUGAAAGCAGGGGAUCUUCGGACCUUGCGCGAUUGAAUGAGCCGAUGUCGGAUUAGCUAGUUGGCGGGGUAAAGGCCCACCAAGGCGACGAUCCGUAGCUGGUCUGAGAGGAUGAUCAGCCACACGGGAAAUGAGACACGGUACAGGCUCCUACGGGAGGCAGCAGUGGGGAAGAUUGGACAAUGGGCGCAAGCCUGAUCCAGCCAUACCGCGUGGGUGAAGAAGGCCUUCGGGUUGUAAAGCCCUUUUGUUGGGAAAGAAAAGCAGCAGGUUAAUACCCCGCUGUUCUGACGGUACCCAAAGAAUAAGCACCGGCUAACUUCGU